RNAcentral lists this long non-coding RNA (4076 nucleotides) under Octopus vulgaris (common octopus). Lineage: Eukaryota; Metazoa; Mollusca; Cephalopoda; Octopoda; Octopodidae. The record is from RNAcentral.
UGUUCGCGGAUAUUUCACAUAGUCGAGGUAAACUAGUUUUCUGGUAAAUAACAGCAGACGAAUAGAUUCCAGAAAUAUGUAUAUACUGAAAACUAAUCUGAAAACAUUCAUUUUCACAUAAACAUAAUUCUUAUCACUUCUAACAAAGUAUAUUCCUUAAAAAUAUCGAAAUUUUGGAUCUUCACUUACUUUUUUCUUCCAUUAAAUACUAACAAUGGCAAUAGAUAUUUUUGCCAUACUUUCGUAUUUAAAAUUAGGCUACAAUAAAUAUGAUUUUCAUAUAUAAUUUAUAAACAUGUACAUUUUCUUGAACAUUGUCAUUUAAUAUGAUUUUGCUGGCAAAUUUUUAAAUUAACAUAAACAUUUAUUUACAUGAAAGAAAAUCACCGGAGAACUCUCAUCCAACUCUUCCAAAUCCUUCUGUCAAACUGUAUUGAAACUAUUUGUGGGGAAAUUUUUUUUAUCUCAGCAUCUGGUCGCAUCCAGCAUAUGAUUGAUAUAUUCGGUAUCUUUUAGAGAAGUCGACAGGUGCAAAGUCGUCAACUUCGCAGAUUUGUAGAGGAAGGACUAUCUGUUAAUGCUGGGAGUCCGUUAAAUUGAAGUAGAAAUAGAUUAGAAACGAUGAGGGAGAGGAAACAUGCAUGUGUUUGUUAACAGAAAGUCUGUUGUGUUGAUGGUUCCAACGGUUUAUAAUGUAUAUACGAAAAUAAGAAGGUAUUUCGUAACCAGCAACAGAAUGUUAAACUUAUAACCAUGCUAGAAUGGUAGCCGUGGUAAUGAUGGUGGUACGAUAUUCUGCAACAACUUUUUUCAAACAUUUGCCAAAGCCAUAAACUACAAUAAAUUCCAAGCAACUAAUAGUUACAAAGUUCAAGACUUAAUGUUAUAGAUUCAUACAUUCUAAAUCAUCCUACACCUCCCUGUAACUUCUUUGACAUCUUUCACAUCCUCUCCCACAACCAUUUUUUGCAGUAGUUCUUUUUAUAGAGCUUCUUGCAGACAACUAUUCCCUUAUCCAUUCACUGAUUAACUGAAAUUGUAUUAGAAACCAAGGAAACCAUUUAUUACAACCAUCUCUACUAAUUAUCAAGAAGCAAUAUUUAUGUGGGGAAAUCCUUGCAACAUUUAUCUAUAACUGCCUUACAUUAGGAACAAAGUGGUUGAAGAAUCAAUCAGAAAUUACGUGAAGUAAACAGCACAUUCUUUGAGUUAAUCUAUAUUACAGAUAAUAAAUCCAUAAUAUCUUUAAGGGUGCAUAGCUUCUUUGGUUUCUCUUCCACUAAGUGACUACUCUGCAUAUUCUUUCUAACUUCUGUCUCAGUCAUUCUUUAACUUAUUUGUCAACCACUUCACUAAAUUUUCUUUUGGUUUCUUUUUUCUCUUACUUUUCCUCACUCCUAUUUAAUGCUUUCAUUUCUCUUCCUUCUUAUGUUGUUCAAUGGAAUGUUACCUUUCUGUUUGGUUUUCUCUUUCUUUUACCCCACUUAAUAGAAUUUCUCUGUUAAUACAGAAAUACUUAUUUCUUUACUACCCACAAGGGGCUAAACACAGAGAGGACAAACAAGGACAGACAAACGGAUUAAGUCGAUUAUAUCGACCCCAGUGUGUAACUGAUACUUAUUUAAUCGACCCCGAAAGGAUGAAAGGCAAAGUUGACCUUGGCAUAAUUUGAACUCAGAACGUGACGGCAGACGAAAUACGGCUACGCAUUUCGCCUGGUGUGCUAACGUUUCUGCUAGCUCUCCGCCUUAUCUCUGUUAAUACAGAAAUAUCUUAAUGUGUUGCUAAAUGAUAUUUUAGCUAUUUCACUUCUUGCAGUUUCUGCAGAUAUGAAAUAUUGUUCAUACUGACAUCUCUAUUUCAUCAUCAACAUUUAACAUCUGUUUUCCAUGCUGGUAUGGAUUGGAUAACUUGACAGAACCUGACAAGGCCAAGAUCCACACCAGGUUCCAUAGUCUGUUUUCAUUUUGUUUCUACAGCUGGAUGCCUUUCCUAGCUACAGAGUGUACUGGGUGCUUAUAAUGUAGCACCAUCACCAGUGCUUUUUACGAGACACCUUGGUUUUAGGAUCUCAAUUCUGUUGUGGUGGGCAGGUCUUUUCAAGUACAGCGAUGCGCCACAUAUCUCAGAAUUAUUAAAUCUAACAAACAAACAAACACACUUCAAAAAUAUCCUAAUAAAGUACUAAGUACUCAAUGCAGAAUUUAUUUUACCCACAAGUUAGUUUAUGUUUCCUUCACAGUUUAAAUUGCUCUGGAAGUUCUCUAUUUAGAAUUUUCCUUCUUAACCCAUAUCUUUGCAUUGAUUUCGUUUUGUCAAAGAAAUAUUGUCAGUAAAUUCUCAAAGCAGUUUCUGAAAAAAAAAUCAAUAACAUUUAAGUCUUCCUUUUUCUGUUUUGCUUAUUUUAUUUAAUUUUAAGUCAGAGAAAAAAUAAUAAACAAAGAUGUUUAAUAAUACAUAAAUAUUUAUUCAACAAAGAAUAUACAAAGCAACCAAUAACAUUAUGACUGAUGUUUAAAAUUAAAUAAUUAAGCUAUGCGUGAGAUGUAUCAAAACUUAUUUUGAAGUAAAAGAAUGGGGAACAAGAUGGUAUAUCCAUGACACAAGAUGUUGCGAGUAGUACCAAGAUCAUAAUAUUGGUUUCAAAUUUUGGCACAAGAUUAGUAAUUUUAGGGGAGGAGCAUACUACAACACUCCACUGAUACUUGUUUCAAAUGGAGUUUGAACUCAGAAUAUAAAGAGCUGCAAGAAAUGCUGCCAAGUAUUUUGUCUGAUGAGCUAAUGAUUCUGCUAUCUCUCUACCUGAAAAGACCUUAAUACUGAAAAAUAUUAUAACCUAAGUGAAAUACCUAAAUAAUUGACUGGAAUUUUUUGGCAGAUGCUGCCAUAUUCACAAGUAUUUAUUAAGAUUUAGUAAAAUUCUGGCAUCUUACAAUAUCAUCCAAAUCAGAAGCUAGAUUGAAGAUCUUUUUCGAUUUAAAUUUUUUUUAAAAAUGAAGGAAAUAAUAACAAACAUCAAUAAAUGAAGAUAUUGAAUUCUUUAGUGUAAUUAAAUAUUGUAUGUGUGAUGAAGUUACAUUAAAUUUCAGUCUUAGAAAUUAGGAAAUAACAUUCGAGCAAGGUCAUUGCCAGUGCCACUGGACUGGCUCCUGUGCAGGUGACAUGUAAAAACACCAUUUGAGCGUGGCCGUUGGCAGAACCGCCUGACUGGCCCUCGUGCUGGUGGCACAUAAAAGCACCCACUACACUUUCGGAGUGGUUGGCAUUAGGAAGGGCAUCCAGCUGUAGAAACUCUGCCAGAUCAGAUUGGAGUCUGGUGCAGCCAUCUGGUUCGCUAGUCCUCAGUCAAAUCGUUGCCAUUUGUAAGGCCAAGUAAGUACUAGCUACAAAGGACACCUAUCAUGAAAGGCUUUCCUAUAAUAAUCAUAUCUUCAGUUUGUGUAUUGUAUAUGAAGGACAACUAUCUAAUGCAUCUGCCCGUUUUUAUAACUUUUCCUUUAAUUUUGGAUAGAUUUGGUUGCUAUUUCUCCCAUGUAAUGAAUGAUCACACAUAGACAAUUUAGUUAUAUUCAAUAUCUUGUAAAAGAUGUCAAGGAUAUUGUAUAAAUUUUGAGGGAAUGCUUAGGCUUCUUUGUGCACUGUUGUACUCUUUCAGUUUGUUCCAAUUGUAAUGUGUUCAAUAAUUCUCUCACCAUAGUAAAGACCCCUUUCAGUCAUGAAUGACCAUGGUAUUGCACCUAGAAAGUUCCCCUCCAAGGCACAAGUCUGGGCAAGGUUAUUUUUAUGGAAGACCAGCAAUCAUCCAUGCAUACCAGCCUCACCUCCCAACACCAUUGAUGUUAUCCAACAGAAAGGCAAAGGCCAAUACAGCUUGGCACCAGUGAUACUGCAACUCACUUCUACAGCUGGAUGAAUUGGAGCAAUGUGAAAUUACAUGGAAAAAUGCGAGCAAGAGAAAUAAUAUUAAGGUGAUAAAUCUGGAAAAGUACAGGACAAGUUAUUUCAUCUGGUAAAGUACAGAACAAGAAAAUCUUUACUUAAAAUAUAGCAGCUAAGGAUAAAAUUAGAUUUAGAAA